GUAGCCCGACGGUACAAUGGGUCGCCAACCCGCAAGGGGGAGCCAAUCCCAUCAAAACGGGGCAUGGUUCGGAUUGCAGGCUGCAAUUCGCCUGCAUGAAGCCGGAAUCGCUAGUAAUCGCGGGUCAGCCACACCGCGGUGAAUACGUACUCGGGGCUU
RNAcentral lists this ribosomal RNA (159 nucleotides) under uncultured Acetothermia bacterium. RNAcentral's name for it is "partial 16S ribosomal RNA". It matches the Rfam family "Bacterial small subunit ribosomal RNA", at positions 1222 to 1382 of the family's 1533-position model. The record is from RNAcentral. Lineage: Bacteria; Candidatus Bipolaricaulota.